AACGUAGGAUGCAAGCGUUAUCCGGAGUGACUGGGCGUAAAGAGCGUGUAGGCGGUUGAGUAAGUUGGGUGUGAAAGCGCCCGGCUAAACUGGGCGAGGACAGGCAAGACUGCUGAGCUAGAGGCCGAUAGAGGGGUGCGGAAUUCCGGGUGUAGCGGUGAAAUGUGUAGAGAACCGGAGGAACACCAGUGGUGCAGACGGCGCCCUGGAUCGGACCUGACGCUGAGACGCGAAAGCGUGGGGAGCGAACGGG
RNAcentral lists this ribosomal RNA (253 nucleotides) under uncultured bacterium. RNAcentral describes it as "partial 16S ribosomal RNA". It matches the Rfam family "Bacterial small subunit ribosomal RNA", at positions 524 to 776 of the family's 1533-position model. The record is from RNAcentral.